AAGUCGUAACAAGGUUUCCGUAGGUGAACCUGCGGAAGGAUCAUUAUUUGAUCUCUUGAGGUAGCAUUUGCAAAAAUGCGGCCUUUUUGCUUUGUGAACUGUCUUGUACUGUUGUAUUUUUCUUUUUACUUUUUUUCCUUUGGAAAAAAUUAAAGACAACUUUCAGCAAUGGAUCUCUUGGCUCUU
This 186-nucleotide unclassified non-coding RNA is filed under the name fungal sp. Its description in RNAcentral is "partial internal transcribed spacer region". The stretch from base 1 to 46 matches the Rfam family "Eukaryotic small subunit ribosomal RNA", at positions 1786 to 1831 of the family's 1831-position model. The record is from RNAcentral. Lineage: Eukaryota; Fungi.